UGGCUCAGGAUGAACGCUAGCUACAGGCUUAACACAUGCAAGUCGAGGGGCAGCAUUAUCGAAGCUUGCUUGAUAGAUGGCGACCGGCGCACGGGUGCGUAACACGUAUCCAAUCUACCCAUGGCUCAGGGAUAGCCUUUCGAAAGAAAGAUUAAUACCUGAUGGUUUCAUGAUUCCGCAUGGGCUUAUGAAUAAAGAUUUAUCGGCGAUGGAUGAGGAUGCGUCCGAUUAGCUUGUUGGCGGGUAACGGCCCACCAAGGCGACGAUCGGUAGGGGCUCUGAGAGGAGGAUCCCCCACAUUGGAACUGAGACACGGUCCAAACUCCUACGGGAGGCAGCAGUGAGGAAUAUUGGUCAAUGGGCGAGAGCCUGAACCAGCCAAGUAGCGUGAGGGAUGACUGCCCUAUGGGUUGUAAACCUCUUUUGUUUGGGAAUAAAGUGAGCCACGUGUGGUUUUUUGUAUGUACCUUACGAAUAAGCAUCGGCUAAUUCCGUGCCAGCAGCCGC
This 507-nucleotide ribosomal RNA is filed under the name uncultured bacterium. RNAcentral describes it as "bacterial SSU rRNA". It matches the Rfam family "Bacterial small subunit ribosomal RNA", at positions 20 to 518 of the family's 1533-position model. The record is from RNAcentral.